CGUCCUCUCCCUCUUCCGCUCUCAGACAGAUCUCCACGGUGCGCUCCUCUCCAACUGGACCUCCACCUCCAGCGCCUGCUCCGCCAAGUGGCUCGGCAUCAACUGCACCAACAACCGCGUCACCGCCGUCUCCCUGCCGUCCCUCAACCUCCGCGGCCCCAUCGACGCCCUCUCCUCCCUCGACCAGCUCCGCCUCCUCGACCUCCGCGGCAACCGCCUCAACGGCACGCUCGCAGCCCUCGCGCAAUGCACCAACCUCAAGCUCAUUUACCUCUCGGGAAACGACUUCUCCGGCGAGAUACCGCCGGAGCUUUCCUCCCUCCACCGCCUCCGCCGCCUCGACCUCUCCAACAACAACCUCCGCGGCCCCAUCCCCGCGCAAUUCGCCAACCUCUCGCGAUUGCUCACUCUCCACCUCCAAAACAACGAGCUCUCCGGCACAAUCCCUAAAUUCCUCGACUCAUUCCCUCAUAUCAAAGAAGUCAAUUUAUCAAACAACGAGC
Molecule: long non-coding RNA, 503 nt
Filed under: Salvia miltiorrhiza (redroot sage)
Lineage: Eukaryota; Viridiplantae; Streptophyta; Magnoliopsida; Lamiales; Lamiaceae
Description: long non-coding RNA (SMIL_LNC005217)
Source: RNAcentral